RNAcentral lists this ribosomal RNA (696 nucleotides) under uncultured Planctomycetota bacterium. Its description in RNAcentral is "bacterial SSU rRNA". It matches the Rfam family "Bacterial small subunit ribosomal RNA", at positions 60 to 766 of the family's 1533-position model. The record is from RNAcentral. Lineage: Bacteria; Pseudomonadati; Planctomycetota.
AGUCGAACGAAUCCCUCAUAGCAAUAUGAGGGGGAAGUGGCGAAAGGGGCAGUAAUGUAUGGGUAACGUACCCGGGGGUCGUGGAUAGCCUUCCUAACGGAUGGGUAAUACACGGCGAUUCGGCGAGGGGACACUCCUCUUGCCGGGAAAGAAUUUCGCCUCCCGGAGCGGCUCAUAUCGUAUUAGCUAGUUGGUGAGGUAACGGCUCACCAAGGCGAAGAUGCGUAGCGGGUGUGAGAGCACGACCCGCACCACUGGCAGUGAGACAUUGGCCAGACACCUACGGGUGGCUGCAGUCGAGGAUCUUCGGCAAUGGGCGAAAGCCUGACCGAGCGACGCCGCGUGGACGAUGAAGGCCUUCGUGUUGUAAAGUCCUGUCGAGGGGGAUCAAGGGCAACUCGAGUGAUCCCUGGAGGAAGCACGGGCUAAGUUCGUGCCAGCAGCCGCGGUAAGACGAACCGUGCAAACGUUAUUCGGAAUCACUGGGCAUAAAGGGCGCGUAGGCGGCUUUCUAAGUCAGGGGUGAAAUCCAGCAGCUCAACUGUCGCAGUGCCUUUGAUACAGGGAAGCUCGAGGGAUGUCGGGGGUCUGUGGAACUUCCGGUGGAGCGGUGAAAUGCGUUGAUAUCGGAAGGAACGCCGGUGGCGAAAGCGACGGACUGGACAUUUUCUGACGCUGAGGCGCGAAAGCCAGGGG